AGAAGCUGAAAUCCUCAGAGAAGAUAUUGGAGUCUCCAAGCGAACAGUCACCAAAGCCUCUUGUGGAGCAGAUCACCAGUCUUCCAAAUAUCCAGAGGAAUUCCACCAGGCCGUCAGCCAGUUCUUUGGAGGUCACGUCCUCGGGAUCAUCCGUGCCAGUCUCUGGCACCAACCCUGACUUCGAGUACUGCAGCAAAGCGCUGCGAUCUGUGGUGCCCAAAUGCAUGUUUAAUCAAGACUGAAAUGAAAACAACACAGCGCUGCCAUGUGGAUUUGC
Long non-coding RNA from Sinocyclocheilus grahami, 277 nucleotides. RefSeq lists it as uncharacterized. The record is from RefSeq and is a predicted model, not a curated record. The transcript is spliced from 3 exons. Lineage: Eukaryota; Metazoa; Chordata; Actinopteri; Cypriniformes; Cyprinidae.